GGCGGCAGGCUUAACACAUGCAAGUCGAGCGGGGGAAGGUAGCUUGCUACCGGACCUAGCGGCGGACGGGUGAGUAAUGCUUAGGAAUCUGCCUAUUAGUGGGGGACAACAUCUCGAAAGGGAUGCUAAUACCGCAUACGUCCUACGGGAGAAAGCAGGGGAUCUUCGGACCUUGCGCUAAUAGAUGAGCCUAAGUCGGAUUAGCUAGUUGGUGGGGUAAAGGCCUACCAAGGCGACGAUCUGUAGCGGGUCUGAGAGGAUGAUCCGCCACACUGGGACUGAGACACGGCCCAGACUCCUACGGGAGGCAGCAGUGGGGAAUAUUGGACAAUGGGGGGAACCCUGAUCCAGCCAUGCCGCGUGUGUGAAGAAGGCUUA
This 378-nucleotide ribosomal RNA is filed under the name Acinetobacter baumannii OIFC083. RNAcentral describes it as "bacterial SSU rRNA". It matches the Rfam family "Bacterial small subunit ribosomal RNA", at positions 38 to 418 of the family's 1533-position model. The record is from RNAcentral. Lineage: Bacteria; Pseudomonadati; Pseudomonadota; Gammaproteobacteria; Moraxellales; Moraxellaceae.